Pelobates cultripes (western spadefoot toad) is the source of this 224-nucleotide non-coding RNA. The record is from the annotation of a GenBank genome assembly. Lineage: Eukaryota; Metazoa; Chordata; Amphibia; Anura; Pelobatidae.
AAAGACUUGAGGGCCAAAUAGUGAUGGUUAGACAACCGGGUCAGAGUGUCUCCAAAACAGCCUUGUGAGAUGUUCGUACCAAAUGUGGUGCAAGGAAGAACAGGCGAGUAAGUUCAUGGGCACCCAAGGCUAGCGGAUGGACAUGGAGAGCGAAGACUAGCCCAUCUGGUCCGAUCACACAGAAGAGCUACUGGAGCUCAAAUUGCUGAAAAACGUAAUGCUGG